AUGGGCAUGGGCUUUGUGGCUAGGAAUCAUCUUGGGAAGUGCAUGUUUGCUGGCAAUGAGCAGCUUUAGGGCUUCUCUGAACCGGAGAUGGCUGAGGCGCUUGCCAUCCAGCGUGCUCUUGAGGUUUGUCGAUCUGAAGGCUGUUUGUCAAUUGUUUUGGCAUCUGACUGCCUCUCCAUGGUGAACAAAAUCAAGUCUCCGGCUCAAGAUCGAUCAAGAGUGGGCACUGUUGUCUCGGACAUCAAAUCUCUCGCGUCUGGGUUUACUCAAUGUUCUUUCUUACAUGUUCUCGUAGUUGUGAGCAUUCUGUUAAUCUUUUUUAUCUUGGUGUGGUUCCGGAUUGUAUCAGGGACGAUCUUUGCUGUGAUGUUCAGUAAUCAAUGA
This 384-nucleotide ribosomal RNA is filed under the name Triticum aestivum (bread wheat). RNAcentral's name for it is "partial small subunit ribosomal RNA". The record is from RNAcentral. Lineage: Eukaryota; Viridiplantae; Streptophyta; Magnoliopsida; Poales; Poaceae.